CCGAGUUUUACAACUCCCAAACCCCUGUGAACAUACCACUUGUUGCCUCGGCGGAUCAGCCCGCUCCCGGUAAAACGGGACGGCCCGCCAGAGGACCCCUAAACUCUGUUUCUAUAUGUAACUUCUGAGUAAAACCAUAAAUAAAUCA
RNAcentral lists this unclassified non-coding RNA (148 nucleotides) under soil metagenome. RNAcentral's name for it is "partial internal transcribed spacer 1". The record is from RNAcentral.